This 1491-nucleotide long non-coding RNA is filed under the name Cricetulus griseus (Chinese hamster). RNAcentral describes it as "lncRNA (ENSCGRG00015032850.1)". The record is from RNAcentral. Lineage: Eukaryota; Metazoa; Chordata; Mammalia; Rodentia; Cricetidae.
CACACACACACACACACACACACACACACACACACACACACACACACACACUGCCCAGCCCUGACUGGCUCUGCACUUAGCCACUGCUGUGUUUCCAACAACACGUAUCACAUUGGUGACGCCCUCUUGCCCUGCAACAGCCUUUAAGAUUCUUUGUCAGCAUUUCACUACUGUUGGGGGAGCCCUUAAGACUGAAGGAAUCAGGGCUGGAGAGAAGGCUCAGUGGUUAAGAGCACUGGCUGCCUUUCCAAUGAUCCAGUUCGAUUCCCUGCACCCACAUGGCAGCUCCCACCUGUCUGUAAUUCCAGAAGGAAGGAAGAUUAAGGAAGGAAGGAAGGAAGGAAGGAAGGAAGGAAGGAAGGAAGGAAGGAAGGAAGGAAGGAAGGAAUGAGUCCUGAGACCACAGCUACCCAAAUCAGGAAGGCUCCACACUGAUGCCAUUGAACACCACCAGUGUGUUCAGAAGACGUCAUGGUCCAGUGUUCAAGGCUCUGUCUACACAGCAGAAGGAAGAUGAUCCCCUUUCCAUUUCUCCCACAGGGAUGCACCAGGACCAACAGGAAAUUGCACCUCAUCAUGGACAACAGCAAAAGCACAGGGCAGAAACAGCGGCCUGCUCUCCUGACUCUGCGUGUACCCUGUGUAUCCUCAAACAAGCCAUCUACAAAACCUACUGGUCACUGGUAAUGAGACAGAGCGGCCUUGUAGAUAAAAAGGGAGGACAUAUCAAGUGCUCACGGCAGGGAGAGAGGCGUGUCACUAAUUCCACACGUGGACAAGACACAAGAGUGGGCCGGCUGCUGUGCUGCCUCCCUCAAUGAGGGUAGUCCGAACCCCAUGGCUACAGGAACCCCAAGGGGACAACUGACUUCAUCAUGGACACUUCUCCCCUUUUCUCUACACCAGGACAGGUCUUGAUGUCUGUCAACAAGGCUUUCAGUGCCCUGCCCCACCCCAUCACACCCCACUAACUCCAUACCCCACAGCCACGCAAGUCUGCUUCCUCCAAAUCAAGGACACAGCCCAUAUCUUCUUUGAUCCACUCCCACGAAGCCUCUGGCCUGACUGGAACUUACAGAAAUAAUCUAGGUUGUGUGAAGGAUGGUGGAUGUCUUGAAUAGCCAGGCACCAACACCAGAAUUGUUGCAGUUCAGCCUUGCAAAUGACCAGAGUGAGAUGCCGUGACCAUUAGACACACCGCAGACAAGUAAAUGGAAACUUGAUAAAGCCAAGAGUGACGACAUAUCAAACUUCUAAGAACCAGUAUAUAGGGCUGGAGAGAUGGCUCAGAGGUUAAGAGCACCGGCUGCUCUUCCAGAGGUCCUGAGUUCAAUUCCCAGCAACCACAUGGUGGCUCACAGCCAUCCGUUAUGAGAUCUGGUGCCCUCUUCUGGUGUGCAGAUAAACAUGGAAGCAGAAUGUUGUAUACAUAAUAAGUAAAUAAAAUCUUUAAAAAAAAUAAAGAAAGAACGAGUAUAUAGAAGGUUUACU